UGUGAGCUCGAUGAGUAGGGCGGGACACGUGGUAUCCUGUCUGAAUAUGGGGGGACCAUCCUCCAAGGCUAAAUACUCCUGACUGACCGAUAGUGAACCAGUACCGUGAGGGAAAGGCGAAAAGAACCCCGGCGAGGGGAGUGAAAAAGAACCUGAAACCGUGUACGUACAAGCAGUGGGAGCACGCUUAGGCGUGUGACUGCGUACCUUUUGUAUAAUGGGUCAGCGACUUAUAUUCUGUAGCAAGGUUAACCGAAUAGGGGAGCCGAAGGGAAACCGAGUCUUAACUGGGCGUUAAGUUGCAGGGUAUAGACCCGAAACCCGGUGAUCUAGCCAUGGGCAGGUUGAAGGUUGGGUAACACUAACUGGAGGACCGAACCGACUAAUGUUGAAAAAUUAGCGGAUGACUUGUGGCUGGGGGUGAAAGGCCAAUCAAACCGGGAGAUAGCUGGUUCUCCCCGAAAGCUAUUUAGGUAGCGCCUCGUGAAUUCAUCUCCGGGGGUAGAGCACUGUUUCGGCAAGGGGGUCAUCCCGACUUACCAACCCGAUGCAAACUGCGAAUACCGGAGAAUGUUAUCACGGGAGACACACGGCGGGUGCUAACGUCCGUCGUGAAGAGGGAAACAACCCAGACCGCCAGCUAAGGUCCCAAAGUCAUGGUUAAGUGGGAAACGAUGUGGGAAGGCCCAGACAGCCAGGAUGUUGGCUUAGAAGCAGCCAUCAUUUAAAGAAAGCGUAAUAGCUCACUGGUCGAGUCGGCCUGCGCGGAAGAUGUAACGGGGCUAAACCAUGCACCGAAGCUGCGGCAGCGACGCUUAUGCGUUGUUGGGUAGGGGAGCGUUCUGUAAGCCUGCGAAGGUGUGCUGUGAGGCAUGCUGGAGGUAUCAGAAGUGCGAAUGCUGACAUAAGUAACGAUAAAGCGGGUGAAAAGCCCGCUCGCCGGAAGACCAAGGGUUCCUGUCCAACGUUAAUCGGGGCAGGGUGAGUCGACCCCUAAGGCGAGGCCGAAAGGCGUAGUCGAUGGGAAACAGGUUAAUAUUCCUGUACUUGGUGUUACUGCGAAGGGGGGACGGAGAAGGCUAUGUUGGCCGGGCGACGGUUGUCCCGGUUUAAGCGUGUAGGCUGGUUUUCCAGGCAAAUCCGGAAAAUCAAGGCUGAGGCGUGAUGACGAGGCACUACGGUGCUGAAGCAACAAAUGCCAUGCUUCCAGGAAAAGCCUCUAAGCAUCAGGUAACAUCAAAUCGUACCCCAAACCGACACAGGUGGUCAGGUAGAGAAUACCAAGGCGCUUGAGAGAACUCGGGUGAAGGAACUAGGCAAAAUGGUGCCGUAACUUCGGGAGAAGGCACGCUGAUAUGUAGGUGAAGCGACUUGCUCGUGGAGCUGAAAUCAGUCGAAGAUACCAGCUGGCUGCAACUGUUUAUUAAAAACACAGCACUGUGCAAACACGAAAGUGGACGUAUACGGUGUGACGCCUGCCCGGUGCCGGAAGGUUAAUUGAUGGGGUCAGCGCAAGCGAAGCUCUUGAUCGAAGCCCCGGUAAACGGCGGCCGUAACUAUAACGGUCCUAAGGUAGCGAAAUUCCUUGUCGGGUAAGUUCCGACCUGCACGAAUGGCGUAAUGAUGGCCAGGCUGUCUCCACCCGAGACUCAGUGAAAUUGAACUCGCUGUGAAGAUGCAGUGUACCCGCGGCAAGACGGAAAGACCCCGUGAACCUUUACUAUAGCUUGACACUGAACAUUGAGCCUUGAUGUGUAGGAUAGGUGGGAGGCUUUGAAGUGUGGACGCCAGUCUGCAUGGAGCCGACCUUGAAAUACCACCCUUUAAUGUUUGAUGUUCUAACGUUGACCCGUAAUCCGGGUUGCGGACAGUGUCUGGUGGGUAGUUUGACUGGGGCGGUCUCCUCCUAAAGAGUAACGGAGGAGCACGAAGGUUGGCUAAUCCUGGUCGGACAUCAGGAGGUUAGUGCAAUGGCAUAAGCCAGCUUGACUGCGAGCGUGACGGCGCGAGCAGGUGCGAAAGCAGGUCAUAGUGAUCCGGUGGUUCUGAAUGGAAGGGCCAUCGCUCAACGGAUAAAAGGUACUCCGGGGAUAACAGGCUGAUACCGCCCAAGAGUUCAUAUCGACGGCGGUGUUUGGCACCUCGAUGUCGGCUCAUCACAUCCUGGGGCUGAAGUAGGUCCCAAGGGUAUGGCUGUUCGCCAUUUAAAGUGGUACGCGAGCUGGGUUUAGAACGUCGUGAGACAGUUCGGUCCCUAUCUGCCGUGGGCGCUGGAGAACUGAGGGGGGCUGCUCCUAGUACGAGAGGACCGGAGUGGACGCAUCACUGGUGUUCGGGUUGUCAUGCCAAUGGCACUGCCCGGUAGCUAAAUGCGGAAGAGAUAAGUGCUGAAAGCAUCUAAGCACGAAACUUGCCCCGAGAUGAGUUCUCCCUGACUCCUUGA
Molecule: ribosomal RNA, 2443 nt
Filed under: Escherichia coli C238_91
Lineage: Bacteria; Pseudomonadati; Pseudomonadota; Gammaproteobacteria; Enterobacterales; Enterobacteriaceae
Also listed under: 1 other name
Description: bacterial LSU rRNA
Rfam family: Bacterial large subunit ribosomal RNA
Source: RNAcentral